UGUGUAGGCGGCCCUGCAAGUUGGGUGUGAAAGCCCAAGGCUUAACUUUGGAACUGCGCCCAAAACUGUGGGGCUUGAGUGCCGGAGAGGGUGGUAGAAUUCCCAGUGUAGAGGUGAAAUUCGUAGAUAUUGGGAGGAAUACCAGUGGCGAAGGCGGCCACCUGGACGGACACUGACGCUGAGACACGAAAGCGUGGGGAGCAAACAGGAUUAGAUACCCUGGUAGUCCACGCCGUAAACGAUGGGAACUAGGUGUCGCGGGUAUUGACCCCUGCGGUGCCGCAGCCAACGCAGUAAGUUCCCCGCCUGGGGAGUACGGCCGCAAGGCUAAA
RNAcentral lists this ribosomal RNA (332 nucleotides) under uncultured bacterium. RNAcentral's name for it is "bacterial SSU rRNA". It matches the Rfam family "Bacterial small subunit ribosomal RNA", at positions 568 to 898 of the family's 1533-position model. The record is from RNAcentral.